RNAcentral lists this ribosomal RNA (711 nucleotides) under uncultured Bacteroidota bacterium. RNAcentral's name for it is "bacterial SSU rRNA". It matches the Rfam family "Bacterial small subunit ribosomal RNA", at positions 18 to 718 of the family's 1533-position model. Lineage: Bacteria; Pseudomonadati; Bacteroidota. The record is from RNAcentral.
UCUGGCUCAGGAUGAACGCUAGCUACAGGCUUAACACAUGCAAGUCGAGGGGCAGCGGGAUUGAAGCUUGCUUCAAUUGCCGGCGACCGGCGCACGGGUGAGUAACGCGUAUCCAAUCUUCCGUACACUCAGGGAUAGCCUUUCGAAAGAAAGAUUAAUACCUGAUAGUAUCUUAAGCACACAUGUAAUUAAGAUUAAAGAUUUAUCGGUGUACGAUGGGGAUGCGUUCCAUUAGGUAGUAGGCGGGGUAACGGCCCACCUAGCCAACGAUGGAUAGGGGUUCUGAGAGGAAGGUCCCCCACAUUGGAACUGAGACACGGUCCAAACUCCUACGGGAGGCAGCAGUGAGGAAUAUUGGUCAAUGGACGAGAGUCUGAACCAGCCAAGUAGCGUGAAGGAUGAAGGUCCUACGGAUUGUAAACUUCUUUUAUAAGGGAAUAAACCCUCCCACGUGUGGGAGCUUGUAUGUACCUUAUGAAUAAGCAUCGGCUAACUCCGUGCCAGCAGCCGCGGUAAUACGGAGGAUGCGAGCGUUAUCCGGAUUUAUUGGGUUUAAAGGGAGCGCAGACGGGUCGUUAAGUCAGCUGUGAAAGUUUGGGGCUCAACCUUAAAAUUGCAGUUGAUACUGGCGUCCUUGAGUGCGGUUGAGGUGUGCGGAAUUCGUGGUGUAGCGGUGAAAUGCUUAGAUAUCACGAAGAACUCCGAUUGCGA